GCCCCCGUAGUUUAAUGGAUAAAGCGUCAGGUUCCGGACCUGAAGAUUGGAGGUUCAAUUCCUCCCGGGGGCA
Molecule: transfer RNA, 73 nt
Filed under: Candidatus Amesiibacteriota bacterium
Lineage: Bacteria; Candidatus Amesiibacteriota
Description: Candidatus Amesbacteria bacterium (hot springs metagenome) tRNA-Arg
Rfam family: tRNA
About the family: Transfer RNA (tRNA) molecules are approximately 80 nucleotides in length. Their secondary structure includes four short double-helical elements and three loops (D, anti-codon, and T loops).
Source: RNAcentral